GAGGGUAUAGCUCAGGUAGUAGGGUGCAUGCUUAGCAUGUGUGAUGUUCUGGGUUCAAUCCCCAGUACCUCCA
This 73-nucleotide transfer RNA is filed under the name Camelus bactrianus (Bactrian camel). It matches the Rfam family "tRNA". From Rfam's summary of the family: Transfer RNA (tRNA) molecules are approximately 80 nucleotides in length. Their secondary structure includes four short double-helical elements and three loops (D, anti-codon, and T loops). Further hydrogen bonds mediate the characteristic L-shaped molecular structure. tRNAs have two regions of fundamental functional importance: the anti-codon, which is responsible for specific mRNA codon recognition, and the 3' end, to which the tRNAs corresponding amino acid is attached (by aminoacyl-tRNA synthetases). tRNAs cope with the degeneracy of the genetic code in two manners: having more than one tRNA (with a specific anti-codon) for a particular amino acid; and 'wobble' base-pairing, i.e. permitting non-standard base-pairing at the 3rd anti-codon position. The record is from Rfam by way of RNAcentral. RNAcentral also lists the same sequence under 2 other names. Lineage: Eukaryota; Metazoa; Chordata; Mammalia; Artiodactyla; Camelidae.